RNAcentral lists this microRNA precursor (82 nucleotides) under Microcebus murinus (gray mouse lemur). RNAcentral describes it as "mir-17 microRNA precursor family". It matches the Rfam family "mir-17 microRNA precursor family". Rfam says of the family: This family represents the microRNA (miRNA) precursor mir-17, family, which includes mir-20, mir-91, and mir-103. miRNAs are transcribed as ~70nt precursors (modelled here) and subsequently processed by the Dicer enzyme to give a ~22nt product. The record is from Rfam by way of RNAcentral. RNAcentral also lists the same sequence under 3 other names. Lineage: Eukaryota; Metazoa; Chordata; Mammalia; Primates; Cheirogaleidae.
UCUCUUGUGUUAAGGUGCAUCUAGUGCAGUUAGUGAACCAGCUUAGAAUCUACUGCCCUAAAUGCCCCUUCUGGCACAGGCU